RNAcentral lists this long non-coding RNA (1411 nucleotides) under Olea europaea subsp. europaea. The record is from RNAcentral. Lineage: Eukaryota; Viridiplantae; Streptophyta; Magnoliopsida; Lamiales; Oleaceae.
UAGUGAUAAGCCUCGUUUGGUUAGGUGCCAUGAGUGUCAAGGAAUAGGUCACUAUAGGAAUGAAUGCCCUAGUUAUAAGAAGAACCAAAGAAAAGGGAAAGGUAAGGCCUUAGUUGUCUCACUUACAGAUAAUGAAUCUGAGACCAGUGAUAGGCAGGAAUCUUCUAGUAGUGAGGACGAAGGAAACUAUAUGGCAUUUGUAUCGACUGUUAAGAGUGAAUCUGACAAAGAAAGUGACAAGGUUGAGGAAGAACUUCCUAACGAUAAUUCUAGUAAUGAGGAUGAGGAUGACAUAGACAUACAAGAAGCUUAUCAACUUUUGUUUAAAGAGAGUCUUAAAAUCAAAAAGGUCAAUAAAGCCCUACUCAAAAAGGUUGAUGAACUUGAAAGAGAAAAAGAGAAACUUGCUAGUAAUCUUCAGGAUUCACUUAAGAGUGGUAGUGAGUUAAAGUGUGUCAAUGAGAAGUUAGAGGACAAGAUUAAGACUUUGACUAGUGAAUUGGAGAAAUCUAAUGCUCAUCUUCAGACUUUCAUAAGUGGGACUAAGAAAUUGGACAAUAUUUUGGGAAUGAAUAAGCCUGCAGGAGAUAGGAAAGGUCUAGGAUACGUUGAGGGUAACACACAUGUUACUAGACCAUCUAAGACUGUGUUUGUUUCUGCCUCUAAGAAAGCUAAUGCUGUCGGCAGUUCAAAAAAGGGUAAGAAUGUUCCGAGAGAACAGAGUCAUCAAUCACGUAGGAACUUCAAUCCCAGAUACCCACAGACACGUACCUUUGAGCCUAGGUUCAUUCCCACCUGUCACCACUGUGGAGCUCUAGGACACACUAGGCCUAGAUGUUAUAAGUUAGGCAAUGAGCGUAGAAAUCAUAACAUUCCUAGUCAGGUUAGCUUUCUGUCUAAUCAGGUUAGUCAUUUGACUGAGAUGCUUACUAAGCUUACUAGGAGUACUUUAUCAUCUAAGAAAGUUUGGGUCAAAAAGGGUGAUCUAGCUAGACAUUCAGGUCAAGAAAACUGUUUUGUUGCUCAUGUUGCAUUAAAAGCCCAAAAUUACAAUAUGUGGUAUCUAGAUAGUGCAUGUUCUAGGCAUAUGUGUGGUAAUAAAGCUUUGUUCACUACUCUUGAUGAAUGUAAUGGUGGUAUGGUUACCUUUGGAGAUGGGGGUUCUGCACCUAUUCUUGGCAAAGGUACUGUACAAAUGCAUGGAUUACCUGUGAUCUCUAAUGUGCUUUAUGUGGAAGGCUUAAAGUCUAAUUUGUUAAGCAUUAGUCAGAUUUGUGAUGAUGAUUUUGAGGUUAGCUUUGUGCAAAAGAGAUGUACCGUGUAUGAUUCGUCCGGUGGGGUGGUCCUUGAAGGGGUUAGAACGUCUGACAAUUGUUAUGGAGUUUUGCCUAAUUCUAAUUAUGUGUGUAGG